UUGCGGAGACAGUAUAAAAGAUUUUGUUCGAAGGGGGCAACAGUUGAAAAUUCUGCCUCUACCAGGUGACGUUGAUAUGAUAUGUGGGGGUCCUCCUUGCCAGGGCAUCAGUGGAUAUAAUCGCCACAGAAAUACUGAUGACCCAUUGUCUGAUGAAAAAAAUCGUCAAAUUAUUAUAUUUAUGGAUGUUGUGGAAUUCCUACGGCCUAAAUAUGUGUUGAUGGAAAAUGUUGCUGACAUAUUGAGGUUCGAUAAAGCAUCUCUUGGAAGAUAUGCUUUAAGCCGUUUGGUACAUAUGAGAUACCAAGCAAGACUUGGAACUAUGGCAGCUGGUUGUUAUGGUCUUCCACAAUUCCGAUUGCGAGUUUUCUUUUGGGGUGCACUUCCAAGUGAGAGGUUGCCCCCAUUUCCACUUCCUUCGCAUGACGUGAUUGUUAAAUAUUGGCCCUCACCUGAAUUUGAGCGUAAUACUGUUGCUUAUGAGGAAGGACAACCACGUGACCUUGAGGAAGCUCUUGUUCUUCGUGAUGCGAUAUCUGAUAUGCCAGCUGUCACAUGGCAUGAAACUCGUGAAGAAAGGCCAUAUGAGAUGCCCCCUGAAACAGAGUUCCAGAAAUACAUAAGAUUAUCUAAACAUGAGAUACUGAGUUGUACAUCAACUGGAGUCAAGGAAACAAAAGAACCUGUUUUGUCUGAUCAUCGGCCUUGCCAACUAAACGAGGACGAUUACUUGCGAGUUUGUCUAGUCCCACGUAGAAAGGGAGCAAAUUUCAGGGACCUCCCUGGUGUAAUUGUAGGAGGGGAUAAUGUGGCUCGUCGUGAUACUAAAGAUCCAAAGGUUCUACCAAACGGAAAGCCCAUGGUUCCUGACUGUGCCUUUAACUUUGA
This 888-nucleotide unclassified non-coding RNA is filed under the name Hevea brasiliensis (rubber tree). The record is from RNAcentral. Lineage: Eukaryota; Viridiplantae; Streptophyta; Magnoliopsida; Malpighiales; Euphorbiaceae.